CGCUUUGGUCCACCAUGGGUGCCACGACGUAGCGCGGGGAUCCCAGGGAGGAGCGGUAGAAGUCGUAGCCGCUGCUUUUCGCUUUCGUUUUUGGGGCUUGGCCCAGUCAGAGAAGCGUGAAAAUUGCGCUCUAAGUCAAUGCACAGCAACAAAAGCAACAAUUACGAGAAAAACCAACCAGCAACAACUGCAAACUAAUUGAGUUAUUCAAGUUGCGCAUGCAACUCGCAGCUUUAAGUUUAAACCCUUCUUUCCAGCAACUUAUUGAAGUUUCAACUUGGGGACCGCGUUGCACAGACGGAUGCGCCACAGUUAAAUGGCUUAUGGUUAGUGCAUUGCGAUAUUGCCUGAUUGGGCUUUGGGUGCUCCCUACGAAAGUUUACUGCCCGGAAAUGGCAUGAAAUUUUAUCAACGUCCAAGGCGGUUUGUCGGAACUUUCAGGACUUUUCCUGUCGCCGAACAUUUUUUGGCUGAUAAUGCACGGCCAAUGCCUGUGCGUAAUUAAAGUUGAAAUAGUCGGGAAACUUUUCCCCCACGAAGGUAACUUGCAUAAGAACUGAAUCGAAUUUAAAUGCAGGCCCGCAAACGCGAAGCGGCUGCUGUUGCGCCGCCAGCUGUUUCCUUUUCAUAAUUAUGGCCAAAUUAAAACCAAGUUCCCAAAUGAAACGUCCAUGGAGGAUUACGAGGAGCAGGAGCCCAUGCUCUGGGCAUUCAGCAAUUAAGAAGUUUUGUGCAAGUCGAGAGACGAGGACGAAACCUACUGCAAUAUGAACAAGAGUGUUGAUGUCGGAAGAUUGUACAAUGGGUAAUUUACAAGUUGCAAUGGAAAACUACAUGCCCCUUCCUGGUGGACAAUGCAUUUAUCGUCCAAAGUUAAGGGAACUCCAAAACUACCAAAGUCUUUUGCCCACAUUAUUGAGAAAACUCAUGAUCCAAUCCCAAUUAGCUGCCCCUAAGUGCACUCCCAGCUGAGUAAAUUGCAUCAUUUUCCAGCCAACAAUACUUAUGGCCAGCCACAGAUGGCCAAGAUCCGCUGCGCCAAAUGUGCAAUUGGAAGGACCGCAGACAGUUGUUUUGCAUCUGGGAGAGAGAGUAAUUGAAUCGGCGGUCGAGACUGGCAAAGGCUUUUCAAAGGUAUAGAUGAUAAUUCAUAAUUUCCGUACCAAUUAGGGCAAUUUCUGCUUUCCCAGGAAAUACCAGAACCAUUGGGGAGGCACACGAGGAUAGAAGUCCUUCAAUCAAAGUGUAGCCGUGGAAAUUGCUAAGUCUGCGGCACCUCCUAGCAUAGUUUUUUGGAAAAGUUACAUUUAGACUACAAAUUACACUAGAUUUCCAAAAUUUAUAGGAGCCCCCAAACUAACCAAACUUUG
Molecule: long non-coding RNA, 1370 nt
Organism: Drosophila eugracilis
Lineage: Eukaryota; Metazoa; Arthropoda; Insecta; Diptera; Drosophilidae
Exons: 3
Source: RefSeq, a predicted model, not a curated record